Molecule: unclassified non-coding RNA, 1912 nt
Filed under: Leishmania donovani
Lineage: Eukaryota; Euglenozoa; Kinetoplastea; Trypanosomatida; Trypanosomatidae
Description: gene:LdHU3.23.0040(CDS-product:hypothetical_prote in_conserved)
Source: RNAcentral
AAUCUCGAGACCGAAGAGGUUGUUACCGCGACAAAUUCAGAGACUCGAAAGCGAAGCCGAAAAGGCUUCUUUGUUUUCUUUUUUGUUUUUGUUUUUGGAACCCUUUUUAGUUCGGUGAGGACGACGACCGGAAAAAGAGGGCGGAAGUGUGGAGCAAGCGGCAAUUUCAGGUGCAUAUACUUGAAGAUCAAGCGCAGGAGAGCGUUGUGAAAUCUCAAACUCUGAGGAAACUUUCGUGAGCGCUCCAGAAGCUGACUUUUUUUUUUCGUCGGUUGGCAAGCCAGGUCGAGCUGACCGUAGAGCUAGCGCGUUUUUUUUUUCGCUUCGCCAUCUCAUAGGAAUUUUUGGCGUUGGCGAAAAAAAAAGGGCAGAAAAGAUGUCCGUUGAUUUUCUCAACUCAGUUGAGAGGUCGCGGCUACUGGAUGCCCUCUUUGACAAUACGUCUUCCUUCGGCACAUUGUCAAAGAGGUUUCGGGACAACUUUCAGCCAGCUCGGUACUCCGCCGUGUGCUGUGAGAUGGGGCAGAUGUGCAAGGAGUUCGUAGCGUCGGCGGAGGCCACGGGUCUCAUCGCUUCUCUGUAUAUUGUGGAUUACAUGAGGAAGCAAGACAACGUGGCGGCGAAGUCGACAUUUUACGACGUGCUAAUAGAGCUGGAGCAUGCUAUUCGGAGAGACAUGUUUGUCGUUGAGCAGAUCAAGUACACAACGAAGGAGUCGAAAGAGGGCAAGAAGAGCCUGGAGGCCACCCGCGCAGAGGUGUUCCGCAUUCAUUGCGCAGCAAAGGUGUUUGCGUUCCAGCUGCUUGGAGACACGGUUGCAGAUGAUGAGAAAGUUGUGUCGUAUGCUUCGAAGAAACAGGAUUCUAUUGAUGAGGCUCUUAACGCGUGGGAGAAGGCGAGCAUCAAGAUCAAGGAGCCGAUGGCGGACAUUGAGCACUGCUGGGUCGCAAAGCACGAGAAGCAGCAGUGCGGCUCGUUGUACGAGACGGCCGCUGUGUUUGAUGAGCAGCCGAACAAACUGUUUGCGUUACUUCUCCCAUCGGUAACAGCAAAGCUACCGAUGCUGCCUAUGCAGGAAGGUGAACUGCAGUAUCUGCUACCCGGAAAGUCUGCAAUGCUUCUUCUCGACAGUGCUCCACCAAGCGAAGGAUGGAUGAUCUCCAAGAGACUGCUUGUAGAGGCGCGCAAGUCGAAACUCUCUAAGGAUGACGAGCAGACGCUGCUUGGGCUGCUGAACGAGUCGCUUGUGUCGCGUUUAGGUGUUUCCCCGCAGCAGCUGAGUGAGCUAGCGACGCAUAGUCCAGAGGUUUGUGCCUCUGUGCUGCUAAAGGUUCCGUCGGGCUCAGCAGGGGCGUUUAUUCAGUUUUUACUGAAGGGCAACAUCCCGGAGGAUAACAUGCAGGCGAUUCUACUUCGAGCGUCGUCCGUCCUGCAGCAGGUCAACGUGCGAACCUUCAUUUCUACCAUGCUCCACAAGCUCAAGGAAAGAUGUGGGCUGCCUUCUGCUGCGGAGAGCUUGAAGAGUUUUGCGGUGACUCUUCAUCAGCUGGUGAUGAAGGCCGCAAAGGAGAAUAGAGAGAUUUUUAUAGCCGACACGUUUCGCGCGGAUCUGGAGCAGCUGUUUCAGUCCAGCAACAUCCCGGAAGUGAAGAACAGAUGGGAGGAAAUGAAGCGGUAGCACUAGCUUAUGCUACUGGCUGAGCUUCCCCGCUCUUCUUGUUCUCUUCUCGCAAGUGCUCCUAGUCAUGCGUCCCGUUUGUUUUGAUAACUUCUCUUGUAAGCUUGAGUAAUCGGCCCACCGCACUUUCGUUGUCGUCUUUUUUUUUUUUCUGUUUUCUUUUUUUUUUCGCUCGCGUACUUGUGCGGGUCGUCUUGUCAACUAGCUCAUCUCAGUUGGGUGAAGAGGAACAGC